RNAcentral lists this non-coding RNA (31 nucleotides) under Mus musculus (house mouse). Lineage: Eukaryota; Metazoa; Chordata; Mammalia; Rodentia; Muridae. The record is from RNAcentral.
UGGAACCUAAAGAACUCCAGAGAUAGACCUG